AUAAGCCCUCGCCAAUAUAGAGUGUAUUUGUGAUGGUGGACCGACAUCCGUCAACGGUGAUUUGUGCUGACAUGAAGCAUCUCGUGCUUCCUCGAGCGCAACAGCCACGCGAGGCAGGUCGGAGCUCGUCCGUGGCAAGCGGCAGCGCGUGCGCACGUUAGGCCCAACUGCUGUCGCCUAGCAGACUGCGCUGGCCAGCGUAGCACCUGGCGCCUGGCCUGCAGCAGCGAGGGGUCUUAUAUGGCUUCCACAAGUUGUACGAGGGAUAUAACUAUAAAGCCCAAUAGAGCCCAACAGCAGCCCAUAGAACGCAGCAGUGCGUAUGCGAAAGCAUGCCGCCAAUCGUCAGCAUGUGGGUCGUUCGCUCACGUUAGUCAUGCAUGGUGAUUUGAUUCUUUUUUUUUUAAGAUUUCGUUUUUCUCCUAUGAUACUAGUAACAAUAGAUUCAACAUUUCUAUCAAACUGAGUCAACAUUUCAAAGAACUGGUUUAACAAUUUGGAAAAGUAAUUCAACAUUUUAAAAAAAUGUUGAACUGGUACAUUAAAAAUGUUGAAUUGACAUGUUAAGAAUGUUGAACUAGCAUAUUGAAAUAUUGAAGUGUUGAAAUAAAAAGUUUUAAAUAACAUAUUGGAACUCAUUUUAUUGCAUUAAUUCCAAACAACAUAGUGGUUUAAAUAGGUUAAUAUUUUAAGAGAAAAUCGUAUUUGAAGUUCGAAACUCAAAGAGAUUCUCUUCCUCUUCCUCCAACCUAGUGCCGACAUCUGUCCAUCCUACCCUCCACCCACGGGCUCCC
This 794-nucleotide long non-coding RNA is filed under the name Setaria viridis. RNAcentral's name for it is "long non-coding RNA (SVIR_LNC009531)". Lineage: Eukaryota; Viridiplantae; Streptophyta; Magnoliopsida; Poales; Poaceae. The record is from RNAcentral.